GACGAACGCUGGCGGCGUGCUUAACACAUGCAAGUCGAACGGAAAGGCCCUGCUUGCAGGGUACUCGAGUGGCGAACGGGUGAGUAACACGUGGGUGAUCUGCCCUGCACUUCGGGAUAAGCCUGGGAAACUGGGUCUAAUACCGGAUAGGAGCCAUUUUUAGUGUGAUGGUUGGAAAGUUUUUUCGGUGUAGGAUGAGCUCGCGGCCUAUCAGCUUGUUGGUGGGGUAAUGGCCUACCAAGGCGGCGACGGGUAGCCGGCCUGAGAGGGUGGACGGCCACAGUGGGACUGAGAUACGGCCCAGACGCCGACGGGAGGCAGCAGUGGGGAAUAUUGCACAAUGGGCGCAAGCCUGAUGCAGCGACGCCGCGUGGGGGAUGACGGCCUUCGGGUUGUAAUCUCCUUUCGCUAGGGACGAAGCUUUUUGUGACGGUACCUAGAUAAGAAGCACCGGCUAACUACGUG
This 465-nucleotide ribosomal RNA is filed under the name uncultured bacterium. RNAcentral describes it as "partial 16S ribosomal RNA". It matches the Rfam family "Bacterial small subunit ribosomal RNA", at positions 28 to 507 of the family's 1533-position model. The record is from RNAcentral.